Molecule: non-coding RNA, 45 nt
Organism: Schistosoma mattheei
Lineage: Eukaryota; Metazoa; Platyhelminthes; Trematoda; Strigeidida; Schistosomatidae
Source: Rfam
AUCCAGCUAAAUAGUCCCAAACAGGACGAAACACGCUUCCCGGAU